This 497-nucleotide ribosomal RNA is filed under the name uncultured bacterium. Its description in RNAcentral is "partial 16S ribosomal RNA". It matches the Rfam family "Bacterial small subunit ribosomal RNA", at positions 28 to 507 of the family's 1533-position model. The record is from RNAcentral.
GACGAACGCUGGCGGCGUGCCUAAUACAUGCAAGUCGAACGCUGAAGGAAGGAGCUUGCUCUUUCUGGAUGAGUUGCGAACGGGUGAGUAACGCGUAGGUAACCUGCCUGGUAGCGGGGGAUAACAAUUGGAAACGAUAGCUAAUACCGCAUAAAAUUGAUUAUUGCAUGAUAGUCAAUUAAAAGGUGCAACUGCACCACUACCAGAUGGACCUGCGUUGUAUUAGCUAGUUGGUGGGGUAACGGCUCACCAAGGCGACGAUACAUAGCCGACCUGAGAGGGUGAUCGGCCACACUGGGACUGAGACACGGCCCAGACUCCUACGGGAGGCAGCAGUAGGGAAUCUUCGGCAAUGGACGGAAGUCUGACCGAGCAACGCCGCGUGAGUGAAGAAGGUUUUCGGAUCGUAAAGCUCUGUUGUAAGAGAAGAACGAGUGUGAGAGUGGAAAGUUCACACUGUGACGGUAGCUUACCAGAAAGGGACGGCUAACUACGUG